AAGAUUAAGCCAUGCAUGUCUUAGUAUAAAUGUCUUUAUACAGUGAAACUGCGAAUGGCUCAUUAAAUCAGUUAUCGUUUAUUUGAUAGUUCCUUUACUACAUGGUAUAACUGUGGUAAUUCUAGAGCUAAUACAUGCUUAAAAUCUCGACCCUUUGGAAGAGAUGUAUUUAUUAGAUAAAAAAUCAAUGUCUUCGGACUCUUGGAUGAUUCAUAAUAACUUUUCGAAUCGCAU
RNAcentral lists this ribosomal RNA (234 nucleotides) under uncultured fungus. Its description in RNAcentral is "partial 18S ribosomal RNA". It matches the Rfam family "Eukaryotic small subunit ribosomal RNA", at positions 40 to 274 of the family's 1831-position model. Lineage: Eukaryota; Fungi. The record is from RNAcentral.